UUUUAAGCAAUUGUUCCUUUUUUAAAAAUUUAUUUUCCCUAAGUUUCUCAUUUUUGUUAGUUAACAAUUAUAUUAUUUAAAUUAAAAUAAAUAAUAAAAACUUAAAUAAAAUACAUAAUAAAUUAAAAUUUGAAUAUUUUUACUUAAUAUUAAAAGUGUUGAAAAGGAUUCCUAUUAUAUUAGUUUUGACAUAUAAUCCAAGAUUUUCAUGAUUUAAUCACAACACCCAAAAUUGGCUAACAACUAAUUUCAACACCAAAAUAAAAUUAGUGAAUAAAAAAGGGAAUACGAUCGAUAAACUUACAUUUUCAGAGGAAAUUAGUUUCUUCUUCUUUGUUUCUUGAUAGUAAAGUCUUCAGCCAACAAGAAUUACUCUUCUGUUUUUGAGUUGUGCAAGAAGAAGAAAAAAUACUUCUCUAGUCUUCUCUUAAGUUGGUUUUAAUUUAUACUAAUUUUUGUUGUAAAAUUAAACGGAUGUCACGUGGGUCAGCUUUUAAUUGUCAUCACUUAUCAUACUAAAAUAAUGUCAUGGAAAGCCAUCAAUUUUUGAAGUGUCAUAACUUGGCAAGUAUAUAAUUUCUCAAUGAUCAGAUGUUAAUUUAUAUAUUUCUCAUGAACUAUAAAUAGCCAUGUUUUCAUUCACAAAGUAAUAUAUAAGAAAAGUUUAAUAUAUAGUAUGCUAUCUCUUUGUUUGUCCUUAUUAAUUUAGUUUAUUAAUAUUAGUUUGUUAGCUAGUUAUUUUAUAACACGUUAUCAACACGAAAUUCUGUCAACUUGAGCUACUUUAAAUUGGUUAAAUGAGUAAGAAUUUUAUUUUUCUAAAAAAGAAGUCUAAAAUUUCUGAACUUAAAUUUGUUGCCUUGGAUAUAUCGGACAAAGGAUACUCAUCAUGGAUAUUAGAUGCUAAAAUUCACAUGGAAGCAAUGGGUCUGGUAGAAACCAUCAAAAAUAAUAACCAGACAUUCAGUCAAGAACAUGCAAAAGUUAUGAUAUUUCUCCUUCACUAUCUCGACGAGGGAUUGAAAAUGCAAUACGUCACUAUUAAAGACUCACUUGUACUAUGAAAUAAUUUGAAAGAUAGACAUGACCACCUAAAGUUGGUCAUUCUACCAUAGGCGCAUCAUGAUUGGUUAAUUUGAGGUUAUCGGACUUUAAAAGUAUAACUGAAUAUAAUUCUUCCAUGUAUAGAAUUAUAUCACAAUUAAAUUUAUGCGGAGAAGAGGUCACUGAAAAUGAUAAGCUUGAGAAAACAUACUCCACAUUUCCUGCCUCGAGUAUGCUCCUGCAGCAGCAAUAUCAAGAAAUGAGUUUUAAUAUAAUUCCAAAUUACUUUCACAUCUUCUUAUUGCUGAAAGACAUAACGACCCAUUGACAGAAAAAAUCAUGAAAUGGGUUUUAUAAAUAAAAAUAUAACUGAAUAUAUAAGAAUGGAAUACAAAUGAAUACAUCCUGAUGUUUGGGAUAUAUUCCAAUAUUGAGAUACAUCGUGAAUUUUUGUAUUGUUCAAUUUCAAAGUCAAAUAAUAAUAAUAUAACAAUACUUGAUAUUAAAAUAUAAAUAUAAUUUAGUUUAAAUACAAAUUACUGUAUUUGUCAUGUUUUUCACCAAAAAUGGAUUUGCAGUAUUAUUUUAUGUUAGUACUAAUUUGUAUUUUUUUUGUGACUCAUACAAGUUAACACAUACAAUUAAAAUAAAUAAAUGUUAAAUACAACAAAUAUAAUAUAACAUGGAUACUAAUACAUUUUGAGUGAAAAUACAUACAAAGAAUUCCAUGAUAUUAUAUAAAACAGAGGACAUUAGAAUUUGGGAAACUAAUCAACUCUAAUAAGAUAUAAAAAUGAAGCAUCAUUAACUAAAAAUAAUACACGGUCUAUUCCUACACGAUCUCUCUCGUGCUAUUCUAGCCGCAGAUCGUACAUUUUCGAGCAAUUCUUGGAUAAUACAUAAAUCAAAAGAAAAAAUUUCCAAACCUUUGAAUAUUAUUUGGUAUACAUCUAGUAAUUCUGAUUGAGUCCGUUAUUGUAGACAAUCAGAUGCUAUCCCAAAAAAUUUGAAAGAAGAAAUUUUCCUUUUAACAAAUAUUGAAAUAUAUUAAACAUCAGACAAAAUAUAUACAUAAAUUCUAGAAAUCAUUUUGCGAGUUUAAAAAAAUUGAAAAUCAUAAAUAUAUGAUGAAUAUUUAAACAAAAUCAUAUGAAAAUUGAAAAAUCCGUAAAUGUAUAUAAUCGGUGCUUUAAACAUCAAAUUAAAAAAAUCAAAACAAAUGAUGGAAAUUACCUUGUCAAUCGAAAAUCUUCUUGAAUUAAUAAAUAGAUUUAGAUUAACAAUAAAGAAAAAUUCUCGAUGUGCAAUAAUUUAGCAGCUUGAAGGAAUCUAAACUUAAACGUGAGAUGUGGAGAUGAAACAUGCAAUUUGGGGAAGAAAGGUUAAU
This 2431-nucleotide long non-coding RNA is filed under the name Solanum lycopersicum (tomato). RNAcentral's name for it is "long non-coding RNA (SLYC_LNC000258)". The record is from RNAcentral. Lineage: Eukaryota; Viridiplantae; Streptophyta; Magnoliopsida; Solanales; Solanaceae.